Crotalus tigris (Tiger rattlesnake) is the source of this 2869-nucleotide long non-coding RNA. RefSeq lists it as uncharacterized. Lineage: Eukaryota; Metazoa; Chordata; Lepidosauria; Squamata; Viperidae. The record is from RefSeq and is a predicted model, not a curated record. The transcript is spliced from 3 exons.
UAUUAAAUGGGAAUAGACAUACAUUCUGUACACCAAGGAAUAACAUUGGUUUGUAUGGUUUUAAUAUUAUUAUUUGUGAACUUUCCAGAGUCAGUUGGAAUUGAAUUGAAUUAAAUAUACAGUAUGAUAAAUUAUGACUGCUUUCUUGGAUUCAAAUUCCAAAACAGCUUGGCAAAGUUUGCAUGAAAAGCAAAGUUCAUAGACAAAUAUUUGGAUUAAAAAAAAAUGAUAGAAAGCCACUAAUAGGAAAGUGGUGUUUCAGUAGCAGAUCUUCACUCUCCCUUUCUGCUAGGCAAAUGAAGGGACAUAGAUGAUUUCACAUAACUAGGUAUUCACAUGCCAAGAAAGGAGAAAUAACCAAUUUAUUAUAUGUAUUUAUUCAACGGAUCCAUACAUUUUGACUGUACCUUGUUUAGUUCAUUAAACUGAACUAACUUUGCCUUUUUUAUUUAUUAGAUAAACUUUCCCACACUGCAUUUGUUUUCAUGCAUACAGAAUGGGCAAAGUUCUGAGUAAAAUGUCCACAUGCAACUUUAAAAAUAAUACAGCUUGCUGUUGAUAGGGGAAUAAAGGACAGAGAUAGGUCAACACAAAAGAAUAUCAUAAGAUUCUGUUAAAUGUAACUGUUUCAGAUAUCCAAUUUAAACAAAUAUGCCAAAUGGAUAGCUAAUCAGAUAAAAUAUAGAACUUAUUUAACAAUUUGGAAAAAUCAAUUAUUUUUAAAACUACUUUUUAUUGAAAGAAACAAAUAAAUAAUACAAAUGUUUCUAUUUUAUAUUUUGCAAAAUAAAUUGUAAUUUACGGGUCAUGUGAACAUGUUUUAAUAGCACUAUAUUUUCUAUUUAGAAAAAUGUAUUAUUAGAAUAUAUUAUUAUUGGAGAUUUUAUAUUCUUUACAUUCUAUAUCCAACCCGCAGCCUAUGGGCCACAUGCAGCUCUGGACAGUCAGUAAAAUGGCCCUAUAAGUUCGUAAAUGUUUAAUACUAUUAUGUGAUUUAAUAUUUUAAAACUACAUCAUAUAUUUCAUGCAACCCGACACAAUUCCUUUUCAUUCAAUGAGGCCCAGGGCAAGCCAAAAGACUGGACAACAACCAUGCUCUAUGUAUUAUUAACUUCAAUAAUCUCUUUACAACAAUUUGAUUUAACAGAAAAAUAUAUUUUGCCAGGGCAAAGGAUUGUGUCAUCUUUCUUUUCAACCUGUUUUUUUGGUUUCAUCUCUCUUGAAUUACACUAAGCUCCCAAACAAAACUGGUGCAAUAUUUUUUUCUUCCUGUUAAUCAAGAAUUAAUGGAGGUAAUUAUGGAGUACUCUGUUUAUAUCAGAAGUUGACAAUGCCUGCUUUAAAAAUGCUGUAUCAGAUAAACAAGAAAAUAAAUCGUAAUAAUGAUUUAUUAAUAGAUGAAUAUUGCUAAAUAGGUCCAUGGAAACUGAUUUCCUUGUCUGUAGUAAUAAUGACACAUAAUUUUAUCUAAUUUAGAUAGAACUGUUAUUACUCCUAUGAGAAGAUGACUAUAACAGCCUCAGCUUGUACAUAAAAUUGGAAAAAGUUCCAGCUUUUAACAAUUUAUCUUGUUUUACAAUUUCUAAAUUCAGGGAAUCUCCACUUUAUUAAAAUGACAACUAGUUGCCUAAGGAUUAGAGAAAUCUGGAAUUUAGUACUGAACAGUAAUGAGUAAAAUCAACAAUUACAAAAUCAAAACAGAUCCACAAUUAGCUUUGCUGGUCAUAUUUAUUGAAGAUAGUUAGAAAAUAAAACAAAGAGUUAGGAAUUUAUAUAAGAAUAAUUUAUUUAGCUAGCAUGUUUAUUUUUUAAAAAAUGCUCCCCAAACAAAAACAAGCAAAAAAAUGAAGAAGGUAGGGAAAUAAUUCAUUUGUUAUAUCACUGAACUAGACAAUUGAAUUAGAUUUUUACUCUCUUUAAAAUAGUUUUUAGCAACCAAAAAAUUCUAUGGCAAAUAAUUGCCUGCUUGUUAGUUGGUAGGAAGUGAUUUAGAUUAGAAAUGUUUAUAACAUCUUAAAAUUGAUGAAGUUCAUAUGAAUAUUUCUAUGAAAUCUUAUGGUUUCUUUAUUUAAUUUUCUGGUUUUUUUUAAAAAAGAAUGACCAUCAGGGACAUGGAUGUGCAAAAUCCUUGAAACAUCUGCUUCAUGCAUGUCAAAUGUGAAACAAAACCUAGCUGUUUCAACUGGCAUCACUGCAAGUAUUUCAACUGCUCAGAGCACUGUGAUUGGGCUGUUUAUGGGGUUGUGACUGGGUUCCUUUUUUCAAUCUUUUUUUUCCCUUCCACCCCUAUGAAGCAGAUGGGACAAUCAUGUUUGUCACUACUAUUGGUUUAUGUGGAAUGGGUGAUGUGGAACUGGAUUAUUUAGAAGAAGAAGCAGUUAAAUGCAUAGUUUGGCAAAAAAGAAAAAGGAAAAAAAAAAGAAAUAGUUUGCUAAUAUCUUCACUCCUGCAAGCCGGCUUGGGUUGACACCCAGUGACUUCAUGCCUAGUCCCUGCAGGAUUCAGAAGUGGUUUGCCAUUGCCUUCUUUCUACAGCUAAGAGAGAGUGACUGGUUCAAGGUCAAUCAGCUAGCUUUAUGCCUAAGGGUCCUAUCUUUGCAAUAGUGCUCUGGGUCAAUAUUGGCCCUGCUGCAGUGGGAAGUAAGAAUGAACUUGAGGAACAGCAGGAAGAGUCACAAUCAAGGCAACAGUGUUAAAAAAAAAUUAAGUCCAAGUCAGAAAUGUAAUUUGAGAAGUAAAAUUUGAAAGUCUGAGACCUGAUCCUCUGUAGUUCUCUGGAAGAUAAAGGGAGGGAGGGGGCAGGCGCAUUCAGAUCUUCAAGAGUCUAUUACUGUAACUUUAUAAUAAAAGUAGUUCAGGUGGUCCUCGA